This is a non-coding RNA of Castor canadensis (American beaver), 414 nucleotides long. NCBI's taxonomy places the organism in Eukaryota, Metazoa, Chordata, Mammalia, Rodentia, Castoridae. The record is from RefSeq and is a predicted model, not a curated record.
GGAACGUCCCGCCGCCGACCGUCGUAAAGCGCGAGGCCGCGCUGGAGGAGCUGGGUGACUCGAAGCCUGGGUCUUGCACGGCGAUUCGAGUCUCUAAAUCUAGUUCCCUCAGAUUCUCCUAGUUGCUGACUCUAAGAAAGAGGAACUAGGAAACACGAACCAGUGGCCGUGGCAGGGCAGGCCUGGAGCUGUUUGGGCAAUAAAGGUCAUCUCUGUGGAGACAGACGGAAAAGGUAUACAUAUGGGAAGCCAGUGAAAGGAGAUAUAAUGCUUACAUUUUUACCUCUGUCGUUUUGGGGAGAGAAGAAAAAUAUUACAAAAAAAUUUAAGGUCAAGGCCACCCGUUCUGAUACCAAUCGACUGACUCCUGAAGAAAGAAACAAUAAUGUAGUAAUAGCAGUGACACAGAGGAAC